RNAcentral lists this ribosomal RNA (406 nucleotides) under uncultured bacterium. RNAcentral's name for it is "partial 16S ribosomal RNA". It matches the Rfam family "Bacterial small subunit ribosomal RNA", at positions 30 to 526 of the family's 1533-position model. The record is from RNAcentral.
AUUGAACGCUGGCGGCAGGCCUAACACAUGCAAGUCGAACGAGUGGCGGACGGGUGAGUAAUGUCUGGGAAACUGCCCGAUGGCGGGGGAUAACUACUGGAAACGGUAGCUAAUACCGCAUACCAUCGGAUGUGCCCCUAUGGGAUUAGCUAGUAGGUGGGGUAACGGCUCACCUAGGCAACGAUCCCUAGCUGGUCUGAGAGGAUGACCAGCCACACUGGAACUGAGACACGGUCCAGACUCCUACGGGAGGCAGCAGUGGGGAAUUUUGAACAAUGGGGGAAAGCCUGAUGCAGCCAUGCCGCGUGUAUGAUGAAGGCCUUCGGGUUGUAAAGUACUUUCGGCAAGGAAGCGUUACUUGCAGAAGAAGCACCGGCUAACUCCGUGCCAGCAGCCGCGGUAAUAC